This 1299-nucleotide ribosomal RNA is filed under the name metagenome. RNAcentral's name for it is "bacterial LSU rRNA". It matches the Rfam family "Bacterial large subunit ribosomal RNA", at positions 1634 to 2925 of the family's 2925-position model. The record is from RNAcentral.
CUACACGACCGUACCGCAAACCGACACUGGUGCGCGAGAUGAGUAUUCUAAGGCGCUUGAGAGAACUCAGGAGAAGGAACUCGGCAAAUUGACACCGUAACUUCGGAAGAAGGUGUGCCUUUAGUAGGUGAACCUGUACAAGGGGAGCCCAAUGAGGUUGCAAAAAAUCGGUGGCUGCGACUGUUUAAUAAAAACACAGCACUCUGCAAACACGAAAGUGGACGUAUAGGGUGUGACGCCUGCCCGGUGCUGGAAGAUUAAAUGAUGGGGUGCAAGCUCUUGAUUGAAGUCCCAGUAAACGGCGGCCGUAACAAUAACGGUCCUAAGGUAGCGAAAUUCCUUGUCGGGUAAGUUCCGACCUGCACGAAUGGCGUAACGAUGGCCACACUGUCUCCUCCUGAGACUCAGCGAAGUUGAAAUGUUUGUGAUGAUGCAAUCUCCCCGCGGAAAGACGGAAAGACCCCAUGAACCUUUACUGUAGCUUUGUAUUGGACUUUGAACAGAUCUGUGUAGGAUAGGUGGGAGGCUUUGAAGUGUGGUCGCUAGAUCGCAUGGAGCCAACGUUGAAAUACCACCCUGGUGUGUUUGAGGUUCUAACCUAGGCCCGUAAUCCGGGUCGGGGACAGUGCAUGGUAGGCAGUUUGACUGGGGCGGUCUCCUCCCAAAGCGUAACGGAGGAGUUCGAAGGUACGCUAGGUACGGUCGGACAUCGUGCUAAUAGUGCAAUGGCAUAAGCGUGCUUAACUGCGAGACUGACAAGUCGAGCAGAUGCGAAAGCAGGACAUAGUGAUCCGGUGGUUCUGUAUGGAAGGGCCAUCGCUCAACGGAUAAAAGGUACUCUGGGGAUAACAGGCUGAUACCGCCCAAGAGUUCAUAUCGACGGCGGUGUUUGGCACCUCGAUGUCGGCUCAUCUCAUCCUGGGGCUGUAGCCGGUCCCAAGGGUAUGGCUGUUCGCCAUUUAAAGAGGUACGUGAGCUGGGUUUAAAACGUCGUGAGACAGUUUGGUCCCUAUCUUCCGUGGGCGCUGCAGAUUUGAGGAAGCCUGCUCCUAGUACGAGAGGACCGGAGUGGACACACCUCUGGUGUAUCGGUUGUCACGCCAGUGGCAUUGCCGAGUAGCUAUGUGUGGAAGAGAUAACCGCUGAAAGCAUCUAAGCGGGAAACUCGUUUCAAGAUGAGAUCUGCCGGGGCCUUGAGCCCCCUAAAGAGUCGUUCAAGACCAGGACGUUGAUAGGUCGGGUGUGGAAGCGCAGUAAUGCGUUAAGCUAACCGAUACUAAUUGCUCGUGCGGCUUGACC